This is a long non-coding RNA of Frieseomelitta varia, 1962 nucleotides long. RefSeq lists it as uncharacterized. Lineage: Eukaryota; Metazoa; Arthropoda; Insecta; Hymenoptera; Apidae. The transcript has 5 exons. The record is from RefSeq and is a predicted model, not a curated record.
AAAAGUAAAGACAUUUACGACUGGAUAAGCAGAGCAUUCCUAAAUUUAAUUUACUUGCAAUUUUAAUACAAGUUCAUUAGCUAUUAUGACAUGAUCACUAACCAAGAAUAGAAUAGAUAUGACAUUAAAUGAGAUUUCAUGAGACUUGAGUUCUUAACUGAUGGAGAUCAGAGUAUUUUUUAUGAUAUUUAUGAUUUAUUAUGACUGACGUAGGAAUUAUAUUGAACGAAUUAUAUUGAAUCGAAAGUCAAUAACUAUGAAAAGAUCUUUAUUUAUUGAAUAUGAUUUAGUCACUAAUAAUAAGGAAACUAUGUAAUUUAUGAUUAAGCAUCAGGCUAUUGUGCUUCUUGUCUACGGCAUGUACAUAUUUUUUCUUGUAUUACAUGCAUAUGACCGAAGCAGAUACCAUUUAUUGGUUUCUGCAUUUUUGAACUUUUAGUUCUAAUUGGAAUUGAGAAAUGUGUAGGUGAUAACAUCAUCCGUAGACAAGGACAGAGAUAACGAUUAGUUUGACCGUUUCACCGCUACGUGGCGAUAGUGCUUGAGUGUCCACAAAGAUAAGGUAUAUGAACCUCAUGUAUCUUGUUUGUAGUGUUCAUAAAUCAACCAAAUACAUUCCUGAGAACAAAUAAAAUUUUUUGAAUAGCGUUAAUACUUCUUGCUUACUGACAGUUGGAGUUACCAUGUCCAAAUCAAAGUACUUUACACUAAUUUGUAAAAAAAAUUAAUAAAGAGGAAUAAUUUGUGAACUUUUGAAAUUGCAUCAUACGUUUAAGACUCCAUUGUAUAUUUUAUUUACGUUUCAAAGUGUAAUAAUCAAGAUUUUCAAAUUCCGUCAUUACUAAAUAGUUCAGACAUCAGACCAAGUAGACCAAAGACCAACAGACGAGUAGACCAAAUGUGAAACAUAUUUUUUCAUGGGAUUCUAGGACCUUAUUACCAUUUUCGUGACACAUCUUGUCAUAUCGAUUUAGAUUACAGCGCCAACGGUGGAAUACGCAACAUACUUCCUACGAUUCUCGAAAAUAUCGAUAUUUCUCAUGAUCGAGUUUUAAGCGGCAAACAUGGCGGAAGGAAGCACACCUAGUCUAUAAAGAGGAAAGUGUUGUCCAGAAAGUGUUGCCCAGAAAAAUCAUUCAGAAAGAAGUAUCGUCUAGAAGUUCUCAGUUAACAUUUCAUGCAAAACGCGCGAUUACAGCGCCAUUGGUGAUAUAUGGAAACACUCUUACGAUUCUCGAAAAUAUCGAUAUUUUUCAUGAUCGAGUUUUAAGCGGCAAACAUGGCGGAAGGAAGCACACCUAGUCUGUAAAGUGUUGUCCAGAAAAAUCAUUCAGAAAGAAGUAUCGUCUAGAAGUUCUCAGAUAAAAAGUUACAUCAAUAGUUGUUAGAUUUGUGUUUGCGUUGUGUAUUUUUAUAAUAAAUAAAUGCAUCAACACUGUGCAUUUUUGGCUUCAACUCAAGCGUUGCAAAUAAACAUUUUCGAUUAAACAUUGUCGAAACGUGCCUGUUCGUUCAAGAUCACCCCAUCCCCUACUAUUUUCUCAAUUGCUAGACGAGACGUGUCGCGAAGAGUCAUUCGGCCACCGAAUUUCGUGACAACAACACGCAUUACGUCGCAUUAGAUUAUUUCUUGAUUCCAAAGAUAGGACACAUAGACGCUACGAUUAUUAAUGGACAAUGUGAUAUUCUUUGACAGAAAUUUGGUAACAUUUCAUUUAUUUUAGAUAUAAACAAACGAUUGAUGUGUAAUUAAACGAUUCGAAGCAAAAUUUUACACGCGUUUUUUGUAAAUAUUAUUUCUUAAGUACAUUUGGCUGUGAAAUUUUGACUUGUGAAACAUUUUCGAAUAUUUAUAACACUUGACGUGAUAUAUUAUUAAUAUAUAUUCCUACUCUAAUAACAAGCAUUCAGAAUACAAUACUUGUUUUCCAUUUACAGUAUUCAGCAUUGAGAAAUACUUUA